Molecule: RNA transcript, 2903 nt
Organism: Carya illinoinensis
Lineage: Eukaryota; Viridiplantae; Streptophyta; Magnoliopsida; Fagales; Juglandaceae
Gene name: extended synaptotagmin-1-like
Exons: 10
Source: RefSeq, a predicted model, not a curated record
CCGCUACUUUUUCUCCUCUUUAUUCUGCAUUGUCUGGUCUGGUCAGGUGCUUGGUGGAGGGCGAAGAAGGCCUCUAAGUCCUACCGCCAACCGGGGGGGACUCCUAUCAGGUAUUGGUCUAUUCCUCGCACUCGCUCAAAAGCCGAAUGAUUUGUUGUUGCGGCUCAAAGUCUGCCUCGGACUUCAUGUUUACCUUUCUACUUCCAUUACCAAAUGCUUUCACAAUCCCCUUCCGCGAGCUUGGAUCGCUUGCAGCUACAGCAGCUGCUUCUUUGCCCCUGUAGUAGACUAAGGCGAUUUAAUCCCAUCACCAUUCCUUUCUCCAAACGAAAGAGAAGAAAUCUCUGUGGAAAAUGGAGCAUUUUCUCUUGUUCCAUUCCCUUGGAGGCUCCCAACCGUGGUCUUAACGUGGAAUUAGCCCAUGCCGCGAGACGGAGCGCCAAGAUCUUCGUACUGAAUCGGUUUUCACAUGAAUUGUACGACGAGGAAUUGCCCAAAAAAUCGCCAAUUCAGUUGAUGUCCAAUUAUACCGAAUUCCAGAACGACCUAAUCUUAGAUAAACUUAGAACCCAAAUGGAAGUCAUGCGUCCGAUCCCCUCGCCACCGGUUAGUCGAAAUAUAGUCGGACUAUUCGUUGUCUUUUUCUUUGUCGGUGUUGCUUUCGAUAAGCUCUGGACUUCGAGGAAUGUAAACCAAGCGAAUGGUGCGAAGAGUAGGCGUGGUGGCACCGGCUCCAGAGCCUGGCCACAAGUGCCGACGAGCUUUUCCUUGCUUUUGGAGAAGGAUUUACAGAGGAAAGAGUCGGUAGAGUGGGUGAACAUGGUUUUGGGGAAGUUAUGGAAGGUUUAUAGAGGUGGUAUCGAGAAUUGGAUCAUUGGGUUGCUUCAGCCAGUUAUUGAUGACUUGAAGAAGCCUGAUUAUGUUGACAGGGUUGAGAUUAGGCAGUUUUCGUUGGGAGAUGAACCGUUGUCGGUGAGGAACGUUGAGCGCCGGACUUCGCGUCUCGUUGAUGAUUUGCAGUACCAAAUAGGCCUUCGAUAUGCUGGCGAUGCACGAAUGCUGUUAAUGCUCUCACUAAAAUUUGGUAUUAUCCGCAUUACCGUGCCAGUUGGUGUUCAAGAUUUUGACAUUGAUGGGGAACUUUGGGUAAGACUACGAUUGAUACCAACAGAGCCUUGGGUGGGAGCUGUUUCAUGGGCUUUUGUUUCACUCCCAAGGAUCAAAUUUGAAUUGUCUGCAUUCCGCUUAUUCAAUUUGAUGGCUAUUCCUGUUCUCUCAAUGUUUUUGACAAAACUUCUCACCAAGGAUUUGCCUCGACUAUUCGUACGUCCAAAGAAGAUUGAUUUAGAUUUCCAAAAAGGAAGAUCAAUUGGUCCUGCUACUAAUGACUAUAAAUAUGGGAAAAUGCAAGAAGGAAACAACAAUUUUAUUGGAGAACUGUCGGUGACUCUUGUAGAUGCUCGGAAUCUGUCGUAUGCUUUUUAUGGCAAAACAGAUCCAUAUGUUAUUUUAAGCCUGGGAGAUCAAACCAUCUGCAGUAAAAAGAAUAGUCAAACCACAGUCAUUGGUCCUCCGGGUGAACCAAUAUGGAAUCAGGAUUUUCAUAUGCUCGUUGUGAACCCUAGAAAACAAAAACUGUACAUCCAAGUUAAGGAUUCUCUAGGAUUUGCAGAGUUGACCAUUGGAGAGGGGGAGGUCAAUCUGGGUUCUCUUCAUGACACUGUGCCGACAGACAGGAUUGUCGUCCUGCAUGGAGGUUGGGGACCAUUUAGAAAGGGGUCCUCUGGAGAGAUACUACUUCGACUAACAUAUAAAGCUUAUGUAGAGGAUGAAGAUGAUAACAGAAAUGAGGCACAUUCCACUUAUGUGGGCAUUUCUGAUGACGGGUUGUUUGAUUCCGAUCUGUCAAAUCAUACUGACAAGAAGGGUCAAAGUGGAACGGAUAAAGAAUCAUUUAUGGAUGUUCUAGCCACAUUGAUUAUGAGUGAAGAAUUUCAAGGGAUAGUGGCAUCUGAAACUGGAAAUCCCAAACUUUUAGAUGAUCUCUCAACUAUAGGGUCGAUGUUACCUAGAUCAUGUGGUCUUAAUGCUGAAUCCAUCCCCUUUAAUUGCACUGGUGUCCCCAAAGGUUAUAGAGGAUCAGCAUUGUUUUGGCUUGCUGCUAUUACAUGUGUAUCAGUGUUACUUGCUAUCAGGACUGGUGGCCCAGGUUUCUUCAAUCCUUGAUAUGCAACAGAGCUAGCAAAGAAGCAGGCUUGAUGAAAUUAAAGUCAAGGCGGAGAUUUAUAGCGAAGUGGCGAGUUGCUACACCUCAGACCAGAUUACCAUGAUGUCAGUAGCCUCUUGUUAUUGGCUUCAUGCCUUUAUAGCAAAUUUUUGUGAGAUUGUGAACGAAUAAUCUUUCCACACUGGCAAUGGAAUCAGCAAACGCUUUGCACUCAGUUGCCUUCGGUUACAUCUGUAAAUUCACAGUUAGUGGCAGAGAAAUGUUCUAUUGGCAGCAUGAAAGUUUUGGCCACUUUGCUCGAUCCAUAUCGAGUGUACAUCAAACUCUCUAAAGUCUAAAGGAGAACAGCCGUUUUUCGGAGCCAUGGUGACUGAUUUUCAACUUUUCUUGUUUUGGAUGUGGAGGUAAGUAAUGCUGAUCCUAAAGGAGCGAAAAAUUAGUAAUCACAUCUAGCAUUAGAAUGUUGUAGGAUGAAAGUUAGGCCCUAGGAAGUGGUUUUCAGAUGAGAAACAUUAUCUGUUUAUCUUGACCAAAACAUUUAUCAUGGGUCAUGGUUCCUUGUAUAGAUUUUUUAUUCAGAAUUUCGAAAGUCAUCUUGAUAAUAAUAAUAAUUGUAAUCACCGUCCCCUUGGGGUUAAGAAAACAAAGAGACUGAAAUGUUACUUGCCUUGAACAA